CCCCUUUCAUCGCCGGGCGGCGGCGCCUAUAUUCAGCGGGCCGGCGCAAGCCGGCUAUGGCGAUAAACGGUUGUCGGAAUAAACCUUUCGGACCCGGGGGCAGUACCCGGCGCCUCCACCAGAGCCCACACCCACGCGAUCCGCGUCGGGUGGGUUGGUCUCCGGCGGGGGCGAAACAGGAUCGACGAGGGCGUAAAGGGCUUUCUUUCGCUCGGCAUGGUUCCGCCGUCAUCGGGCCGACCUAUAGUUGCGAAUGACAACUAUGCUCCGGUUGCCGUUGCCGCGUGAGCGGUAAAGGUACCGAAAUAAAGUCCUGAUCGGGUAGCUCUGAUUAGGCGGGGUUCGGAGGCACCUGGCAACAGAAGCCUCCACU
Azorhizobium caulinodans ORS 571 is the source of this 373-nucleotide non-coding RNA. It matches the Rfam family "Alphaproteobacteria transfer-messenger RNA". Rfam says of the family: Bacterial tmRNA, also known as 10Sa RNA or SsrA, is named for its dual tRNA and mRNA-like properties. Its role is to liberate the mRNA from a stalled ribosome. NCBI's taxonomy places the organism in Bacteria, Pseudomonadati, Pseudomonadota, Alphaproteobacteria, Hyphomicrobiales, Xanthobacteraceae. The record is from Rfam.